ACGUUUAUACUCACACUUGUAUAUAACGCAACUUCAUGAAGUCUCAAAAGAGAAAAUGCAUCAGCUAAAGGGCGAUUCUCAAUUACACUUUACAUCAUAGCUGAAUAAUUGAGUGGCCUAUCUCCAUCUCAGCAGCUUACAUAGUAGGAGGCACAAUUUGAAAUGAACAGUGGGAAUAGUUACCUAGUUCCACGUGGGAAGAAUAGAAAACAUGAGAAGAAAGAAAAUAUUUAUUGCAUUUUGAAUGUGUGUAUAAUAUUUCAGAUUUUUUCAGAGGAAUGAAUCAGAAAUCAGGGAGGUGGGCAAUUGUCUGGCAAGAUAUGGGUGAUAGCAGGGUACUCUGGAUGAGGGCACUCCAUUGAGCAUUGAUGCCUUUUGAGGCCAAUAUAAUAGCUCUUCAUUGAGAAAACAUACCCAGAACUAUCAUUGUUUUUUUUUUUCAGAAUCUCGAUUAAGCCUCACUAAAUGACCAUAGGGAAAACUGAUAAAUUUUUGCCAUGAUUUUCCGUGUAUAUUGAUCAUUCCUUUUCUGCCCUGGGAUACUUGGAUACUAAUUUGAGAAAUGCUCAAUUGGAGAAACAUUUGGAAGAAUAUUUAAAGAGAUGUGGACAUCCAGUCCAUUAACUUCAUCCUCAUAUAGAAAACCCAAGAUGGUGAACAUGGCUAGGCAUUGCAAAGGCUGCAUACAUGACAUUCUUCCUAUGUGUUUUGUCGUCACAUGGUUGUCUUAUAAGAACACCAAUCAUAUUGGAAUAAGGGCUCACUCUACUCCAAUAUAACCUCAUCUCAACAAUCCUAUUUCGAAAUAAGGUGAUAUUCUCAUAGAGAGUGGAAUGGUGGACAACGGACACUAGGAAGUUUGGAGGUAUGGAUGAUGAAAAAUUACUUAAUGGGUACAAUGUCCAUUAUUCUGAUAAUGGACAUUUUAAAAGCCUUGACUUGACCACUGCACAUGUAACAAAAUUGUACUUGUACCCUAUAAAUGUGUACAUAAAUAAAUAAAAAGAAAGCAUGCUUAAAAAAUAAAGUAAAAGCUGUAUGUACCCAGCAAAAAAAAAUUAAUCAUAAUAAUACCAUCAAGUUCCAAGAUACUGAGGAUGAAGACUUCAACAAAUCAUUCUUUGGGCAAAGAGGGACACAAUCCAACCUAUAACAUUAUAUAUCAUGUUCACAGUGCAAAAAAAUCAAAGACAAAUAAAUUUUAAUGAAGCCAGGGAUUGGCGAAGAAUUGAUUUAUUUAUAGAGAAACAGUAAUACGAAAUAGAUUUUUCUUCAGAAAUUAUACAAGCAAAAACAGAGUGGGAUAAACUGUUUUAAAUGUUCAAAAAGUACCCCCUACACCUGUGAUUGUUUACUCUGAAAAAU
This 1365-nucleotide long non-coding RNA is filed under the name Callithrix jacchus (white-tufted-ear marmoset). RNAcentral's name for it is "lncRNA (ENSCJAG00000084671.1)". The record is from RNAcentral. Lineage: Eukaryota; Metazoa; Chordata; Mammalia; Primates; Cebidae.